GAGUUUGAUCCUGGCUCAGAACGACGCUGGCGGCAGGCUUAACACAUGCAAGUCGAGCGCCCGCAAGGGGAGCGGCAGACGGGUGAGUAACGCGUGGGAAUCUACCCGUUUUCUACGGAAUAACGCAGGGAAACUUGUGCUAAUACCGUAUGUGUCCUUCGGGAGAAAGAUUUAUCGGGAAAGGAUGAGCCCGCGUUGGAUUAGCUAGUUGGUGGGGUAAAGGCCUACCAAGGCGACGAUCCAUAGCUGGUCUGAGAGGAUGAUCAGCCACAUUGGGACUGAGACACGGCCCAAACUCCUACGGGAGGCAGCAGUGGGGAAUAUUGGACAAUGGGCGCAAGCCUGAUCCAGCCAUGCCGCGUGAGUGAUGAGGGCCCUAGGGUUGUAAAGCUCUUUCACCGGAGAAGAUAAUGACGGUAUCCGGAGAAGAAGCCCCGGCUAACUUCGUG
RNAcentral lists this ribosomal RNA (449 nucleotides) under uncultured Rhizobiaceae bacterium. RNAcentral's name for it is "bacterial SSU rRNA". It matches the Rfam family "Bacterial small subunit ribosomal RNA", at positions 9 to 507 of the family's 1533-position model. Lineage: Bacteria; Pseudomonadati; Pseudomonadota; Alphaproteobacteria; Hyphomicrobiales; Rhizobiaceae. The record is from RNAcentral.